GCGAUGGGAUUGGAGACCCUGCAAGAGAUGCAGCACGUGCGAGGGGCCCAGCGCGGGGAGCCUCCAGCACGUGCGAGUGGCUUCGGGAAUCGCGAGGGAGAGCUCCAAGAGGUGGGGUUUGAGAAAAGUGUUGCUGCCGAGAAAGUAAAGAUUCGGCGACUGAACGGACAGAAGAGUGGUGGGAGCACGCGAGAGAGAAGAAAAAAGGUGGCGGCGGCGGCGAAGAGUGGAGGAAGAGAGGAGCAUUCAAUAACACAACUGCUCGCCACUGGUUGUGGC
Molecule: long non-coding RNA, 279 nt
Filed under: Vigna radiata
Lineage: Eukaryota; Viridiplantae; Streptophyta; Magnoliopsida; Fabales; Fabaceae
Description: long non-coding RNA (VRAD_LNC016239)
Source: RNAcentral